RNAcentral lists this unclassified non-coding RNA (173 nucleotides) under soil metagenome. RNAcentral describes it as "partial internal transcribed spacer 1". The record is from RNAcentral.
CAGAGUUUCUUGCCCUCACGGGUAGACCUCCCACCCUUGAAUACGUUACCUUUGUUUGCUUUGGGCAGGGCCCGCGCCUGCGCCGGAGGCCCCUCGGGGCUUCCGCGUGGCCUGCCAGCAGACCCCAACUCUUGUUUUUUGGUGAUGUCUGAGUAAGCUAUAUAAUAGUUUAA